Long non-coding RNA from Mesocricetus auratus (golden hamster), 320 nucleotides. RefSeq lists it as uncharacterized. The record is from RefSeq and is a predicted model, not a curated record. Lineage: Eukaryota; Metazoa; Chordata; Mammalia; Rodentia; Cricetidae. The transcript has 4 exons.
GCCAUGUUACCGUGGGGAGAAGACCCAUGAGGCUGAGUCCUUGAGUCCUAGAAGAAGCUGGAGGAUUAAAAUGAACAUGAAGUCUAUUUCAGAAGAUGGACAUGAUAUCAAGCUCUACAGAAGCAUGGAGCAGAUGAAGAGUAUCACAGAAACUCACAGCUGGUCAAGAAUGCAGAGGACAGCAGACAACUGCGUUUGAAACAUCGGCAAGACAGUCUCUAAAGCUAAGAGUCUAGGACCUGCAUCAAAGAGCAGGGGAGGAAAGAUGAGCCUUCAUACAGUAGCUGAUGGAAACAGCUAAACACGGAGCCGAACUCCUG